GUGGGGAAUCUUGCGCAAUGGGCGAAAGCCUGACGCAGCCAUGCCGCGUGAAUGAUGAAGGUCUUAGGAUUGUAAAAUUCUUUCACCGGGGACGAUAAUGACGGUACCCGGAGAAGAAGCUCCGGCUAACUUCGUGCCAGCAGCCGCGGUAAUACGAAGGGGGCUAGCGUUGCUCGGAAUUACUGGGCGUAAAGGGCGCGUAGGCGGACAGCUUAGUCAGAGGUGAAAGCCCAGGGCUCAACCUUGGAAUUGCCUUUGAUACUGGCUGUCUUGAGUUUGGGAGAGGUGAGUGGAACUCCGAGUGUAGAGGUGAAAUUCGUAGAUAUUCGGAAGAACACCAGUGGCGAAGGCGACACACUGGCUCAUUACUGACGCUGAGGCGCGAAAGCGUGGGGAGCAAACAGGAUUAGAUACCCUGGUAGUCC
RNAcentral lists this ribosomal RNA (425 nucleotides) under uncultured bacterium. RNAcentral's name for it is "partial 16S ribosomal RNA". It matches the Rfam family "Bacterial small subunit ribosomal RNA", at positions 354 to 796 of the family's 1533-position model. The record is from RNAcentral.